UACGAAGGGGGCUAGCGUUGCUCGGAAUCACUGGGCGUAAAGCGCACGUAGGCGGAUUGCUAAGUCAGGGGUGAAAUCCUGGAGCUCAACUCCAGAACUGCCUUUGAUACUGGCGACCUUGAGUCCGGGAGAGGUGAGUGGAACUGCGAGUGUAGAGGUGAAAUUCGUAGAUAUCGAGAGGAACACCGGUGGCGAAGGCGGCCUUCUGGACAGUGACUGACGCUGAGACGCGAAAGCGUGGGGAGCAAACAGG
RNAcentral lists this ribosomal RNA (253 nucleotides) under uncultured bacterium. Its description in RNAcentral is "partial 16S ribosomal RNA". It matches the Rfam family "Bacterial small subunit ribosomal RNA", at positions 524 to 776 of the family's 1533-position model. The record is from RNAcentral.